This is a small nucleolar RNA of Ailuropoda melanoleuca (giant panda), 83 nucleotides long. Its record names the gene U3. It matches the Rfam family "Small nucleolar RNA U3". Rfam says of the family: Small nucleolar RNAs (snoRNAs) are involved in the processing and modification of rRNA in the nucleolus. There are two main classes of snoRNAs: the box C/D class, and the box H/ACA class. Lineage: Eukaryota; Metazoa; Chordata; Mammalia; Carnivora; Ursidae. The record is from Ensembl.
AAGACUAUACUUUCAGGGAUCGUUUCUAUAGUUUGUUACUAGAGAAGUUUCUCUGAAAGGGUAGAGUAGUUGCUGAAAGCAGC